AGCUCGUAGUUGAACCUUGGGCCUGGCUGGCCGGUCCGCCUCACCGCGUGUACUGGUCCGGCCGGGCCUUUCCCUCUGUGGAACCCCAUGCCCUUCACUGGGUGUGGCGGGGAAACAGGACUUUUACUUUGAAAAAAUUAGAGUGCUCCAGGCAGGCCUAUGCUCGAAUACAUUAGCAUGGAAUAAUAGAAUAGGACGUGUGGUUCUAUUUUGUUGGUUUCUGGGACCGCCGUAAUGAUUAAUAGGGACAGUCGGGGGCAUCAGUAUUCAAUUGUCAGAGGUGAAAUUCUUGGAUUUAUUGAAGACUAACUACUGCGAAAGCAUUUGCCAAGGAUGUUUUCAUUAAUCAGGAACGAAAGUUAGGGGAUCGAAGACGAUCAGAUACCGUCGUAGUCUUAACCAUAAACUAUGCCGACUAGGGAUCGGACGGGCUUCUUUUUUGACCCGUUCGG
RNAcentral lists this ribosomal RNA (452 nucleotides) under uncultured Pseudonectria. RNAcentral describes it as "SSU rRNA". It matches the Rfam family "Eukaryotic small subunit ribosomal RNA", at positions 625 to 1083 of the family's 1831-position model. Lineage: Eukaryota; Fungi; Ascomycota; Sordariomycetes; Hypocreales; Nectriaceae. The record is from RNAcentral.